RNAcentral lists this ribosomal RNA (486 nucleotides) under uncultured bacterium. RNAcentral describes it as "bacterial SSU rRNA". It matches the Rfam family "Bacterial small subunit ribosomal RNA", at positions 24 to 507 of the family's 1533-position model. The record is from RNAcentral.
UCAGGAUGAACGCUAGCGGCAGGCUUAUACAUGCAAGUCGUGGGGCAGCGCAGGUAGCAAUACUGGGCGGCGACCGGCAAACGGGUGCGGAACACGUACACAACUUCCGAGAAGUGGGGAAUAGCCCAGAGAAAUUUGGAUUAAUACCCCGUAACAUAACGAUGUGGCAUCACAUUGUUAUUAUAGCUUCGGCGCUUCUUGAUGGGUGUGCGGCUGAUUAGAUAGUUGGCGGGGUAACGGCCCACCAAGUCUACGAUCAGUAGCUGAUGUGAGAGCAUGAUCAGCCACACGGGCACUGAGACACGGGCCCGACUCCUACGGGAGGCAGCAGUAAGGAAUAUUGGUCAAUGGACGCAAGUCUGAACCAGCCAUGCCGCGUGAAGGAUUAAGGUCCUCUGGAUUGUAAACUUCUUUUAUCUGGGACGAAAAAAGGCGAUUCUUCGUCACUUGACGGUACCAGAUGAAUAAGCACCGGCUAACUCCGUG